Molecule: ribosomal RNA, 1355 nt
Filed under: uncultured bacterium
Lineage: Bacteria
Description: bacterial SSU rRNA
Rfam family: Bacterial small subunit ribosomal RNA
Source: RNAcentral
AUUGAACGCUGGCGGCAGGCUUAACACAUGCAAGUCGAACGAUGACUCUCUAGCUUGCUAGAGAAGAUUAGUGGCGGACGGGUGAGUAACAUUUAGGAAUCUGCCUAGUAGUGGGGGAUAGCUCGGGGAAACUCGAAUUAAUACCGCAUACGACCUACGGGUGAAAGGGGGCGCAAGCUCUUGCUAUUAGAUGAGCCUAAAUCAGAUUAGCUAGUUGGUGGGGUAAAGGCCCACCAAGGCGACGAUCUGUAACUGGUCUGAGAGGAUGAUCAGUCACACCGGAACUGAGACACGGUCCGGACUCCUACGGGAGGCAGCAGUGGGGAAUAUUGGACAAUGGGGGCAACCCUGAUCCAGCCAUGCCGCGUGUGUGAAGAAGGCCUUUUGGUUGUAAAGCACUUUAAGCAGGGAGGAGAGGCUAAUGGUUAAUACCCAUUAGAUUAGACGUUACCUGCAGAGUAAGCACCGGCUAACUCUGUGCCAGCAGCCGCGGUAAUACAGAGGGUGCGAGCGUUAAUCGGAAUUACUGGGCGUAAAGCGAGUGUAGGUGGCUCAUUAAGUCACAUGUGAAAUCCCCGGGCUUAACCUGGGAACUGCAUGUGAUACUGGUGGUGCUAGAAUAUGUGAGAGGGAAGUAGAAUUCCAGGUGUAGCGGUGAAAUGCGUAGAGAUCUGGAGGAAUACCGAUGGCGAAGGCAGCUUCCUGGCAUAAUAUUGACACUGAGAUUCGAAAGCGUGGGUAGCAAACAGGAUUAGAUACCCUGGUAGUCCACGCCGUAAACGAUGUCUACUAGCCGUUGGGGUCCUUGAGACUUUAGUGGCGCAGUUAACGCGAUAAGUAGACCGCCUGGGGAGUACGGCCGCAAGGUUAAAACUCAAAUGAAUUGACGGGGGCCCGCACAAGCGGUGGAGCAUGUGGUUUAAUUCGAUGCAACGCGAAGAACCUUACCUGGUCUUGACAUAGUGAGAAUCCCGCAGAGAUGCGGGAGUGCCUUCGGGAAUUCACAUACAGGUGCUGCAUGGCUGUCGUCAGCUCGUGUCGUGAGAUGUUGGGUUAAGUCCCGCAACGAGCGCAACCCUUUUCCUUAUUUGCCAGCGGGUUAAGCCGGGAACUUUAAGGAUACUGCCAGUGACAAACUGGAGGAAGGCGGGGACGACGUCAAGUCAUCAUGGCCCUUACGACCAGGGCUACACACGUGCUACAAUGGUAGGUACAGAGGGUUGCUACACAGCGAUGUGAUGCUAAUCUCAAAAAGCCUAUCGUAGUCCGGAUUGGAGUCUGCAACUCGACUCCAUGAAGUCGGAAUCGCUAGUAAUCGCAGAUCAGAAUGCUGCGGUGAAUACGUUCCCGGGCCU